GACGAACGCUGGCGGCGUGCCUAACACAUGCAAGUCGAGCGGAAAGGCCCUUCGGGUACUCGAGCGGCGAACGGGUGAGUAACACGUGAGCAACCUACCCUUGACUUUGGGAUAACCCCGGGAAACCGGGGCUAAUACCGGGUAUGACAUUUCACGGCAUCGUGGGGUGUGGAAAGUUUUUGCGGUCAGGGAUGGGCUCGCGGCCUAUCAGCUUGUUGGUGGGGUGAUGGCCCUACCAAGGCGACGACGGGGUAGCCGGCCUGAGAGGGCGACCGGCCACACUGGGACUGAGACACGGCCCAGACUCCUACGGGAGGCAGCAGUGGGGAAUAUUGCACAAUGGGCGAAGCCUGAUGCAGCGACGCCGCGUGAGGGAUGAAGGCCUUCGGUUGUAACCU
RNAcentral lists this ribosomal RNA (398 nucleotides) under uncultured bacterium. RNAcentral's name for it is "bacterial SSU rRNA". It matches the Rfam family "Bacterial small subunit ribosomal RNA", at positions 28 to 432 of the family's 1533-position model. The record is from RNAcentral.